Molecule: long non-coding RNA, 686 nt
Filed under: Ursus maritimus (polar bear)
Lineage: Eukaryota; Metazoa; Chordata; Mammalia; Carnivora; Ursidae
Description: lncRNA (ENSUMAG00000011986.1)
Source: RNAcentral
AUGGUGACUGUGCUGGGUGCCCAGCGGGGGGGCUGUUUGACAGUAACCGCAGGGCUGAUGGGAGCACCUGAGAGGAGCGGCUUCGUGGGAAGUGUUGGGACUAGGCCCUGGGUGUGUGGGAGCUCACGCUGCCAUGAGGACUGUUUUCGCCCAGAGGGCUUCAGUGCUUUGGGUCUGACGUGGAAAGCCCUGGUUGCGGCCGUGUCUCCGGGAGGGGACGGCACGCAGGCUCACUCUUGUUCACUGAGCUUAGCGUGAAUCCUUGCCCUUUCUUCUGAAGUUCUGUUUCCUUUUCGUGGCUCAGAGGGCAACAACUCAUGGUCCCAAGUUGCUGUUGGAGCCGCAAGUUCCAGGCAUCAGGAAAGAGGAAGGCAGGAAAAGCCCAGCGUGCAUAUUCCUGCCCUGAACAAAGUCUGAAACUAAGAAAGAAGAGAAUGGUAAUGAAUGGGCAGUGGGUGGUCCUUGGCAUACCUCCCGGCACUCAGGUAGCAGCCGGUAAACGGCACCCUACUUCCUUUCUGCAGAGCAUCAAGAAGGGGGAAGGGAAGUAAUACUUACUAAGAGCAUGCAGGAUUCCAGGGACCAUGCUGGACAUGUGCACAUCAUCUCAUUCAAUUAUCAUAAUCCUGGGAGUGAGGCCGAGCAACAGAUCAGGUAGGAAGAGAGGCUACAACUGGAGGGGUGGG